AGUGAACGCUGGCGGUAGGCCUAACACAUGCGAGUCGAACGGCAGCACAGUAAGAGCUUGCUCUUACGGGUGGCGAGUGGCGGACGGGUGGGGAAUACAUCGGAAUCUACUUUUUCGUGGGGGAUAACGUAGGGAAACUUACGCUAAUACCGCAUACGACCUACGGGUGAAAGCAGGGGAUCUUCGGACCUUUCGCGAUUGAAUGAGCCGAUGUCGGAUUAGCUAGUUGGCGGGGUAAAGGCCCACCAAGGCGACGAUCCGUAGCUGGUCUGAGAGGAUGAUCAGCCACACUGGAACUGAGACACGGUCCAGACUCCUACGGGAGGCAGCAGUGGGGAAUAUUGGACAAUGGGCGCAAGCCUGAUCCAGCCAUACCGCGUGGGUGAAGAAGGCCUUCGGGUUGUAAAGCCCUUUUGUUGGGAAAGAAAAGCAGCAGGUUAAUACCCCGCUGUUCUGACGGUACCCAAAGAAUAAGCACCGGCUAACUUCGUG
This 492-nucleotide ribosomal RNA is filed under the name uncultured bacterium. RNAcentral describes it as "partial 16S ribosomal RNA". It matches the Rfam family "Bacterial small subunit ribosomal RNA", at positions 29 to 507 of the family's 1533-position model. The record is from RNAcentral.